This 812-nucleotide ribosomal RNA is filed under the name uncultured bacterium. Its description in RNAcentral is "bacterial SSU rRNA". It matches the Rfam family "Bacterial small subunit ribosomal RNA", at positions 60 to 878 of the family's 1533-position model. The record is from RNAcentral.
AGUCGAACGGACUUAAUCGAAAUAUUUAUAUUUUGAAGCGGUUAGUGGCGGACUGGUGAGUAACGCGUAAGGAACCUGCCUAUUAGAGGGGAAUAACAGUGAGAAAUCAUUGCUAAUACCGCAUAUGCCAUAGAUAUCACAUGAUAACAGUGGGAAAGGAGCAAUCCGCUAAUAGAUGGCCUUGCGUCUGAUUAGAUAGUUGGUGGGGUAACGGCCUACCAAGUCGACGAUCAGUAGCCGGACUGAGAGGUUGAACGGCCACAUUGGGACUGAGAUACGGCCCAGACUCCUACGGGAGGCAGCAGUCGGGAAUAUUGCGCAAUGGAGGAAACUCUGACGCAGUGACGCCGCGUAUAGGAAGAAGGUUUUCGGAUUGUAAACUAUUGUCGUUAGGGAAGAGAAAGGACAGUACCUAAGGAGGAAGCUCCGGCUAACUACGUGCCAGCAGCCGCGGUAAUACGUAGGGAGCGAGCGUUAUCCGGAAUUAUUGGGUGUAAAGGGUGCGUAGACGGGAGAACAAGUUAGUUGUGAAAUACCUCGGCUCAACUGAGGAACUGCAACUAAAACUGUACCUCUUGAGUGCAGGAGAGGUAAGUGGAAUUCCUAGUGUAGCGGUGAAAUGCGUAGAUAUUAGGAGGAACACCAGUGGCGAAGGCGACUUACUGGACUGUAACUGACGUUGAGGCACGAAAGUGUGGGGAGCAAACAGGAUUAGAUACCCUGGUAGUCCACACCGUAAACGAUGGAUACUAGGUGUAGGAGGUAUUAAGCCUUCUGUGCCGUCGCAAACGCAGUAAGUAUCCCACCUGGGG